GAUGAAGAACGCAGCGAAAUGCGAUAAGUAAUGUGAAUUGCAGAAUUCAGUGAAUCAUCGAAUCUUUGAACGCACCUUGCGCCCUUUGGCCAUUCCGAAGGGCAUGCCUGUUUGAGUAUCAUGAACACCUCAACUCUUUAUGGUUUUCCAUGAUGAGCUUGGACUUUGGGGGUUUUGCUGGCCUAUGGUCGGCUCCUCUAAAAUAAAUCAGCUUACCAGUGUUUGGUGGGUAUCAUGGGUGUGAUAACUAUCUACGCUUGUGGUUUUUCCGCCAGGUAACCUUCGACAGCGGAGGUUCACUGGAGCUCAUAGAUGUCUCUCCUCAGCGAGGACAGCCCUUUGAAUGUUUGAUCUCAAAUCAGGUAGGACUACCCGCUGAACUUAAGCAUAUCAAUAGCGGAGGA
This 404-nucleotide unclassified non-coding RNA is filed under the name soil metagenome. Its description in RNAcentral is "partial contains 5.8S ribosomal RNA, internal transcribed spacer 2, and large subunit ribosomal RNA". The stretch from base 1 to 121 matches the Rfam family "5.8S ribosomal RNA", at positions 35 to 154 of the family's 154-position model. The record is from RNAcentral.